GACGAACGCUGGCGGCGCGCUUAACACAUGCAAGUCGAGCGACGCGGCGGACGGGUGAGUAACACGUGAGUAACCUGCCUUAGACAUUGGGAUAGCCUCGGGAAACCGUGAUUAAUACCAAAUGGUCUAAGAUGGCCUCGCGUCCCAUUAGCUAGUUGGUGAGGUAACGGCCCACCAAGGCGACGAGGGGUAGCCGGCCUGAGAGGGUGAACGGCCACAAUGGAACUGAGAAACGGUCCAAACUCUACGGGAGGCAGCAGUGGGGAAUAUUGCACAAUGGAGGGAACUCUGAUGCAGCGACGCCGCGUGAACGAAGAAGGCUUUCGAGUCGUAAAGGUCUGUUGUUAGAGAAGUGGUAGGAGUGGAAAGCUACAAUGCGUACUAACCAGAAAGGGACGGCUAACUACGUGCCAGCAGCCGCGGUAAUUC
RNAcentral lists this ribosomal RNA (429 nucleotides) under uncultured bacterium. Its description in RNAcentral is "partial 16S ribosomal RNA". It matches the Rfam family "Bacterial small subunit ribosomal RNA", at positions 28 to 526 of the family's 1533-position model. The record is from RNAcentral.